RNAcentral lists this ribosomal RNA (429 nucleotides) under uncultured Acaulospora. Its description in RNAcentral is "SSU rRNA". It matches the Rfam family "Eukaryotic small subunit ribosomal RNA", at positions 569 to 1001 of the family's 1831-position model. Lineage: Eukaryota; Fungi; Glomeromycota; Glomeromycetes; Diversisporales; Acaulosporaceae. The record is from RNAcentral.
CGCAGCCGCGGUAAUUCCAGCUCCAAUAGCGUAUAUUAAAGUUGUUGCAGUUAAAAAGCUCGUAGUUGAAUUUCGGAAUCUGUCCAUUGGUCGGGCUUCACUGUCCGUACUGGUGUGGUGGGUUCUUACCUUCUGAAUAACCAGCAUGCCAUUUAUUUGGUGCGUUGGGGAAGCAGGACUAUUACCUUGAAAAAUUAGAGUGCUCAAAGCAGGCUAGUGCCUGAAUACAUUAGCAUGGAAUAAUAAAAUAGGACGGCAUGGUUCUAUUUUGUUGGUUUCUAGGAUCACCGUAAUGAUUAAUAGGGAUAGUUGGGGGCAUUAGUAUUCAAUUGUCAGAGGUGAAAUUCUUGGAUUUAUUGAAGACUAACUUCUGCGAAAGCAUUUGCCAAGGAUGUUUUCAUUAAUCAAGAACGAAAGUUAGGGGAUCGA